GAGUUCAAGAGUACGUGAAACCGUUCAGGGGUAAACCUGAGAAACCCGAAAGGUCGAACGGGGAGAUUCAGGCGCGUAUCGUGAAAGUCGGCGAGUCGUUGACGCGCGACGGACGGCGUUCGCGCGCCGUGCCGCGCCAUUUUCGACCGUCCGACAGCGAACGCGUGCACUUCUCCCCAUGUAGGACGUCGCGACCCGUUGGGCGCCGGUCUAAGGCCCGCGGCGAAGACCGAACGUCCUCGUGCGUUCGGGCCCGCGGUGUCCCGGCCGGCGCGGAUCGACUAUCGACAACCGACGGUAAAACCAGUGGCGCGGGGCCGCGACCAGUUCGCGUCCGGCUCGCGGCAAGCGCGUUCGGUCAAUCCGACGUUCGGACCCGGUGCCGAAUUCGGACCCGUUCGGCUGCUGGCCGCGAUGUUCUCGGACAGACCCCGUACACGCCGGUCGGCGACGCUAUAGCUUUGGGUACUUUCAGGACCCGUCUUGAAACACGGACCAAGGAGUCUAGCAUGUGCGCGAGUCAUUGGGACCGCACUAAACCUAAAGGCGUAAUGAAAGUGAAGGUUCGUCCCGAACGAACCGAGGGAGGACGGGUCGUUUCGCGGAACGGCCCCGCACUCCCGGGGCGUCUCGUUCUCAUCGCGAGAGGAGGCGCACCCAGAGCGUACACGCUGGGACCCGAAAGAUGGUGAACUAUGCCUGGUCAGGACGAAGUCAGGGGAAACCCUGAUGGAGGUCCGUAGCGAUUCUGACGUGCAAAUCGAUCGUCGGAACUGGGUAUAGGGGCGAAAGACUAAUCGAACCAUCUAGUAGCUGGUUC
RNAcentral lists this ribosomal RNA (820 nucleotides) under Glaphyrus superbus. RNAcentral describes it as "eukaryotic LSU rRNA". It matches the Rfam family "Eukaryotic large subunit ribosomal RNA", at positions 385 to 957 of the family's 3401-position model. Lineage: Eukaryota; Metazoa; Arthropoda; Insecta; Coleoptera; Glaphyridae. The record is from RNAcentral.